Molecule: long non-coding RNA, 3730 nt
Filed under: Gallus gallus (chicken)
Lineage: Eukaryota; Metazoa; Chordata; Aves; Galliformes; Phasianidae
Source: RNAcentral
GACUUUGACACUGAUAUUUUGAUACAGUAAAAGAUUUGGCUGAGCUGGCUGUUGUAGGGGGGGGUAAAAGAACCGUAAAGAAACAAACCUCUCGUUCUUGCACUUCUGGUAUCUAAGCAAAUAAUUGGAAUUGAGAAUUGUAUUUAAAAAUAUCAGUCACAAGAUUUUUAUGCUGAAGCACAGCUAUAAAAACUCGUUGUCUCAGUUUUCCUCCUUCCCACACAGUGUAAUGCUCAGCCCUCAGUUUGGUUUUUCAAAGCUGUUUGGUCUUCUAAAAUUUUUAUUUUGUGAUCAUUGCUUCUCCCCUGUGUAAAUUAUGUUGUCUUUUUUGUAUAUUGUUGUCAUAAAAAAUUGUCUCAUAAAACCAAUAGAGCUUUAUUGUACUGAUGAAUUUGGGUCUUACUGUGCUUUAUUAAGCAGAGUUGAGAGUAAGAAUGCAAACAACUUAAGGAGGGGGCAUUUUGGUAAGCAAUUAGUUCAGCUACAAGAGGCAUUCCAAUAACCAAUUACAACAGUAACAGCAUUCUCUGUAUGUGCUUUAAGAAGUCAUUAUGAAAAGUAUUUGAGAUACUAGCAAGGGCAUAUAGCUUUACCUAGCUGACAGAUUGCCUACCAGCUGCUGAUGCUGACCAGUUGCUAAUGAUCGGGUGCUGCUAUGUUGCAAUGUUACUAAAAGUGUUUUCUCUCCUGACACUUCUGUUAAGGAAAGGGGGGGAGUGUGUGCAUGUAUCUUAAUUGACUUAGUCUGUACCAGCCUUAAUAAUUACAUGGUUUAAAUUAAUGUUUUUUUAAUUAUCAAGGAAGUAGAAGGGAAAAAGGGAGAAUUAAGGGACAAGACAGGUCUGUUUGGGGUUGCCAAUAGUGUUCCUGUACUGUUUGUUUAGGUUAGAUAAUCUGGUUCAGUGUCCUCCUUCAAAUUACUUUUCUGUUCAGCUGGACAUUUCUGUGCCCAGAAAAUAAUCUCCUUUUAUCUGAUGGUUACAAUUGAAAUGUCUGAUUUGGUCACUGUUAUGUUAGGAUGUGCUUCUUGUGUGUAUGCGUGCACACCGGGUACACAGAAUCCUUGAGUAUGCGUGAUACUUUCUCAAAGGCAUCAAGUGGAAAAGGUGUCAAAUGCAGAAGAAAAAGUAAUAUGAGAAGUAAGAAUUUAAGCUGUGGCAAAUGGUUAUUGUUAGACUUGCAGUAUCAGUGAGUUACUUUUAACCAGCUGAUCUCCCUUGAUCCCUCUUUCUCCAAACUGCUCAGUUAUUAAUGUAAUGCAAACAGUAAGUCAUUCAGUUCCUCUUAGUUCUCUUUACGCCUGUCACAUGUAUUUCUGUACAGACUGUUUUGGCAGCAGCAGUGAUAUACAUUUAUUGACUACAUUUGCGGCAGUCUAAAAUAGGUAUGUCUUUCCCAAACACAAUGUAAUAGGAAUUUGUGGGUUAUAUACCUGAAGUAAAUCUGCUUAGAGGAUUCUUUUUCCUAACAGGCUUUAGUGGUUUUUUUUUUUUUUGUCAUACUUUUGCAAUACUCACUGAAAGCAAGAAGGUGCCUUCUCAUAACACCACAUUCUAUUGAGCAUACCUUGCUGUAUUUUGGACUUGUUGGUUCAUAAAACUCAUGGUGAAUUUUUAGUUUUUUAUCAGUAAGUACAAUAUCUCACUCUUUUCUAUACGUGGUUGAAGAGAAGCCUGAAAUAAUUGUGGAGUUGUUUUAUUUUGUUUCUUUUCUCUUCACUCCAGUGUGUGAUCCAUCUCAUUGUCUUAAUUCAUUUCUUCCUUUCCAGAUUAUCUAGGGAACUUUUUCAGCUACGUCCAAUUGUCGUGAGAAUUAUGCAAUAAAGUUAAAGCAAGUUGCUAUAAUGUUGAGUUUAAUGUUAAACAGAGCAUUUCUAGUGGUUAGCCAUUUAACUUUUAUGGAGAAUUCUGAAGUGUUGAGAUCUCUAUUUUGUUACCUGCAUCCAUAUUUUCUAUGAAACAGUGAAUUGCAUCAAACAGAUAAUUCUGCUAGGAAAAGGUACUAGAGGAGAGAGUAGUGGAUGGAUACUCAUCUCAGAUCGUGGACUUCGUUGUAUUUUUUUUUCUGUGCUUCCUGCAUAAACUUGAGCUGAGCAUUGCAGAGUUGAGAAAGGGGACAAAGUACUCUUAAGUGGUCUGCCCUAUAAUUUAAUUGCUAGCUUAUGCUUUAAGGAGCUGAGACAUGUGGGAGAGCGGAGGAUUCACAGAUAACUACUGAUGAAGAACGUGGUGCUAAGGCUCUUCAAGUACAUUUUUCUUGGGUCCAGGCUGGGAGGAAACUAGGAGAAAAUGAACUGUGUUUUGUGCAUGAAUGGUGGGGAGAGGUUCAGUUCAUGUGUGCAAAUUUGUGUGUGACUGGAUGUCCAAAUGAAUCUACUGCUCAUUCUGCCAUCUAAUCCUAUAGCUGUAUAUGACCAUUUUCCUAUCAAAACCCACACUUUUCUAAUAAUCCCCUACAUUAUUAUUCCCAUUAUUUGUUUUCAAGCUGUGCAAAAACUUAAAAUGCUUCUUUCUACUACAUUGUCACCCGAGCAGUUUGUUUGGAUUGAAGGCUUCUCCAAGCAUUCCUCUCACCAUCCGUUCACUUAUUUCUUCCUCUGUGGAUUGUGUUUUUGGAGAGAUGUAACGUGUUCUGCAAGUAUUAGGCUUACAGUACAUGUGACAUUACUCAGUCAGUGUGCAGUACUCAGCAGGACUAAUUAUUAAUGGAUACUAUACUACAAGCUGAACUUGAUGAAUAUUCUAUUGCAAACUUCUGAUUUAUCACAGAGCUGAGGAGUUGGGCAUUUGAGCAGGAAUUUUGAUAGCAAUAUUCAAUGAAUGUAGAGUAAGCACACCAAACAAAACCAACAAUAACCAGAAUCUUCUGUAUGUUGUUAUAUUGUAAGUUAGGUGUCUUCCUCGCUGUUGUGUAGUCUGGUGGUACGUGUAAUAAUGUGACACAUUCAUGAAGAUAUUUCAUCAUGACACUUUGGGCCAGAGAAAGUUGGGCAUAAAAUGAUGUAGUGGAACUUUCAAAACAUUCUUUGCUACCUUUUUCCCCCUUGAGAUUUUACCGGGCAACUCUGAAUUUUGUUUGAACAUGUUGCUUUUAUCAUCUGUAGUUCAGAAUGUGUAGUUGCUUUCAGUCUUGGACUGCAGAAGUAUACCUGGUGUUUAAAACAACAAAAUAGCAAGCAAAGACUCAAACUACAGAAUACAGUAAGAAUAAAUGUUUGUCCUGCAGAAUUAAGUACCUGGAACUGAGAAAAUAUGAGGCUGUGUCUACCUGUGCUAUUAGAACUUCUUUACCCCUUCGCCUCUCCUUCCAUCUAUCUGCUGUUUCAUAUUUUUUUUUUUUAAACUGACCUUUUUCAUUGCAUGAGAUGUGAGAUCAGCAAAAUGUUACUUCUUCCUUGCUAUGCCACUAGAACGCUUCCUGUAUGCUAAUCAAACUAUAUUUAAUGCAAAAUCAUUCAAUUCUGUAUGCUCUUUUCUAAGGUGGAUCUCAACAAAUCACAUUUGCACCUCACAAAAUUCAUUUAUUUUUUCACAGUAUCUCUUGGUGUACUAUCCCAUAACACAUUUGGGUAACUUACCAAAAAAAAAAAAAAAAGAAAAAAAAAAAACACAUUUCAAAGGGCAAACCAGGAAUCUUUCUAUGUAAUUAACAGAAAGACCUCUGUAGAAAUGCUUGAAGUGACUACCUCGAUGGAAACUGUUGUGGAGCUAAAUCAGCUUUUGUAGUACCU